AGUAUAGUAAAUUAAAAAUUCAAAUACUAUCUAACUUUUUGUGUGGAUAAAUUGUCUUAAUUCAGAUCGUGCUUCAGUGUGAUGAUACCUGUAAACAGAACAUUUUUGGUACAUAUAAUUACUGCAAGGAUAAUCUGAAAAAGGAAGCUUCAGUUUUAAAAGACUGCAUAGAAACAGAAAUGAGAGGAAGGUGUUCACAAUGUGAUAUUUGUGAUGUAAUGUUUGAUAAAGGAUCAAUUCUUCAAGGCUGUCCAUUAUAGAUAUAAAAAUGGCUUUUGAUUUAAUUUGAUUUUGACAUAUUUAUAAUUUGUGUGAUUUAAUUCGGUUGUUCUAUUGGAUAAUUAAUUAGAUUUAAAAUAAAUAUUUUCUAAAAUUG
Molecule: long non-coding RNA, 376 nt
Organism: Eurytemora carolleeae
Lineage: Eukaryota; Metazoa; Arthropoda; Copepoda; Calanoida; Temoridae
Exons: 2
Source: RefSeq, a predicted model, not a curated record